This 433-nucleotide ribosomal RNA is filed under the name uncultured bacterium. RNAcentral's name for it is "partial 16S ribosomal RNA". It matches the Rfam family "Bacterial small subunit ribosomal RNA", at positions 29 to 507 of the family's 1533-position model. The record is from RNAcentral.
AACGAACGCUGGCGGCAUGCCUAACACAUGCAAGUCGAACGAUCCCUUCGGGUAUAGUGGCGCACGGGUGCGUAACGCGUGGGAACCUGCCCUUAGGUUCGGAAUAACUCAGAGAAAUUUGAGCUAAUACCGGAUAAUGUCUUCGGACCAAAGAUUUAUCGCCUUUGGAUGGGCCCGCGUUGGAUUAGCUAGUUGGUUGGGUAAAGGCCUACCAAGGCGACGAUCCAUAGCUGGUCUGAGAGGAUGAUCAGCCACACUGGGACUGAGACACGGCCCAGACUCCUACGGGAGGCAGCAGUGGGGAAUAUUGGACAAUGGGCGAAAGCCUGAUCCAGCAAUGCCGCGUGAGUGAUGAAGGCCUUAGGGUUGUAAAGCUCUUUUACCCGGGAUGAUAAUGACAGUACCGGGAGAAUAAGCUCCGGCUAACUCCGUG